GAUGAACGCUGGCGGCGUGCUUAACACAUGCAAGUCGAACGGAAACGCCCAAGCUUGUUUGGCUUCUCGAGUGCCGAACGCGUGAGUAAGACGUGGGUGAUCUGCCCUGCACUUCGGGAUAGGCUUGGGUAACUGGGCUUACUACCGGACAGGAUCCCACCUUGGAGUGUGUGCAGGAAAGUUUUUCGGCUUGGGCUGAGCGGGCGGCCUAUCAGCUUGUUGGUGGGGGAAUGGCCUACCAAGCCCCCGAAGGGUAGCCGGCCUGAGAGGGUAUACGGUGACAUGGGGACUGAGGUACGGCGCAGACUCGUACGGGGGGCAACAGGGGGGAGUAUUGCACAAUGGGCGCGAGCCUGAUGCAGCGGCGCCGCGUGGGGGAAGACGGCCUGCGGGUUGUGAACACCUUUCGGUAGGGACGAAGCGCAAGUGACGGUACCUGGAGAAGAAGCACCGGCUAACUACGUG
Molecule: ribosomal RNA, 465 nt
Filed under: uncultured bacterium
Lineage: Bacteria
Description: partial 16S ribosomal RNA
Rfam family: Bacterial small subunit ribosomal RNA
Source: RNAcentral